RNAcentral lists this transfer RNA (76 nucleotides) under Acidobacteria bacterium RIFCSPLOWO2_02_FULL_61_28. RNAcentral's name for it is "tRNA-Thr". It matches the Rfam family "tRNA". Rfam says of the family: Transfer RNA (tRNA) molecules are approximately 80 nucleotides in length. Their secondary structure includes four short double-helical elements and three loops (D, anti-codon, and T loops). RNAcentral also lists the same sequence under 3 other names. The record is from RNAcentral. Lineage: Bacteria; Pseudomonadati; Acidobacteriota.
GCUGGCGUAGCUCAGUUGGCAGAGCAUCUGAUUUGUAAUCAGAGGGUCAGGGGUUCAAAUCCCUUCGCCAGCUCCA